CUGCCCAUCGCCGGACUGUGCCGCCGCUGGUAGGGUUUAUUCACAAACUCUCCCGCGUUUGCACCUCUGAAAGACGCACGUAGCUGCUUCUGCGAUUCGAUCCAGGCCUCUGUUCUUUCUUCCUUCUUUCUCGAGCUUUUGCGAAUCCCUAAUUAUGGCUAACACGAUGGCUAGGUCUUUUCUGCAGGUUGCUGCUACGGAAGAGGUUGCUACCCCUCUCCGAGUGGUCCAGAUUGAAGGAUUGGUUAUAUUGAA
Molecule: non-coding RNA, 255 nt
Organism: Cucurbita pepo subsp. pepo (vegetable marrow)
Lineage: Eukaryota; Viridiplantae; Streptophyta; Magnoliopsida; Cucurbitales; Cucurbitaceae
Source: RefSeq, a predicted model, not a curated record